RNAcentral lists this ribosomal RNA (142 nucleotides) under uncultured eukaryote. RNAcentral's name for it is "partial 18S ribosomal RNA". It matches the Rfam family "Eukaryotic small subunit ribosomal RNA", at positions 1299 to 1458 of the family's 1831-position model. The record is from RNAcentral.
UGGUGGAGUGAUUUGUCUGCUUAAUUGCGUUAACGAACGAGACCUCGACCUGCUAAAUAGUUCGGCGAACUCUUCGGGGUUCGUGCGGUACUUCUUAGAGGGACUAUCGGUUCGAAACCGAUGGAAGUUCGAGGCAAUAACA